AUUGAACGCUGGCGGCAGGCCUAACACAUGCAAGUCGAGCGGAUGAAGGGAGCUUGCUCCUGGAUUCAGCGGCGGACGGGUGAGUAAUGCCUAGGAAUCUGCCUGGUAGUGGGGGAUAACGUCCGGAAACGGGCGCUAAUACCGCAUACGUCCUGAGGGAGAAAGUGGGGGAUCUUCGGACCUCACGCUAUCAGAUGAGCCUAGGUCGGAUUAGCUAGCUGGUGGGGUAAAGGCCUACCAAGGCGACGAUCCGUAACUGGUCUGAGAGGAUGAUCAGUCACACUGGAACUGAGACACGGUCCAGACUCCUACGGGAGGCAGCAGUGGGGAAUAUUAGACAAUGGGCGAAAGCCUGAUCCAGCCAUGCCGCGUGUGUGAAGAAGGUCUUCGGAUUGUAAAGCACUUUAAGUUGGGAGGAAGGGCAGUAAGUUAAUACCUUGCUGUUUUGACGUUACCAACAGAAUAAGCACCGGCUAACUUCGUG
RNAcentral lists this ribosomal RNA (484 nucleotides) under uncultured bacterium. Its description in RNAcentral is "partial 16S ribosomal RNA". It matches the Rfam family "Bacterial small subunit ribosomal RNA", at positions 30 to 507 of the family's 1533-position model. The record is from RNAcentral.